GGAGUUAGCCGGUGCUUCUUCUGCGAGUAACGUCACAGAUGUAAGGUAUUAACUUACACCCUUUCCUCCUCGCUGAAAGUGCUUUACAACCCGAAGGCCUUCUUCACACACGCGGCAUGGCUGCAUCAGGGUUUCCCCCAUUGUGCAAUAUUCCCCACUGCUGCCUCCCGUAGGAGUCUGGGCCGUGUCUCAGUCCCAGUGUGGCUGAUCAUACUCUCAGACCAGCUAGGGAUCGUCGCCUAGGUGAGCCUUUACCUCACCUACUAGCUAAUCCCACCUGGGCUUAUCCAUCAGCGCAAGGCCCGAAGGUCCCCUGCUUUCCCCCGUAGGGCGUAUGCGGUAUUAGCAGUCGUUUCCAACUGUUAUCCCCCACAAAUGGGCAAAUUCCCAGGCAUUACUCACCCGUCCGCCGCUCGUCAUCUUCAAAAGCAAGCUUUUGAAAUGUUACCGCUCGACUUGCAUGUGUUAGGCCUGCCGCCAGCGUUCAAUCUGAGCCAGGAUCAAACUCUGA
RNAcentral lists this ribosomal RNA (511 nucleotides) under uncultured bacterium. Its description in RNAcentral is "partial 16S ribosomal RNA". The record is from RNAcentral.